AAAGGAAUUCGACGGGACCCCGCACAAGCGGUGGAUCAUGUUGUUUAAUUCGAUGAUACGCGAAGAACCUUACCAGGUCUUGACAUCCCCCGCGAUGCUUUAGAGAUAAAGCGGAGGUAUUCGGGGAGACAGGUGGUGCAUGGUUGUCGUCAGCUCGUGUCGUGAGAUGUUGGGUUAAGUCCCCGCAACGAGCGCAACCCCUAUUGCUAGUUACCAUCAUUAAGUUGGGGACUCUAGCGAGACUGCCAGUGAUAAACUGGAGGAAGGUGGGGAUGACGUCAAAUCAUCAUGCCCCUUAUGACCUGGGCUACAAACGUGAUACAAUGGCUGGAACAAAGGGAUGCGAAGCAGUGAUGUGGAGCGAAACCCAUAAAAACAGUCUCAGUUCGGAUUGAAGUCUGCAACUCGACUUCAUGAAGUCGGAAUCGCUAGUAAUCGCGGAUCAGAACGCCGCGGUGAAUACGUUCUCGGGGUUU
Molecule: ribosomal RNA, 476 nt
Filed under: uncultured Acholeplasma sp.
Lineage: Bacteria; Bacillati; Mycoplasmatota; Mollicutes; Acholeplasmatales; Acholeplasmataceae
Description: bacterial SSU rRNA
Rfam family: Bacterial small subunit ribosomal RNA
Source: RNAcentral